CCUCAUCAGAGCUGACUCAGGCCAAUGGGCACCCCACCUGCGGCAGCCCUAGGAGAUGGAGCAGCCCGGCCCACAUGGCCCGGCCUCCCGCCCCUGACUUGACUUGAUAACGAACCAGAAACUGAAACAGGGUCAGGAUUCCCGGCUUGAAGUCAGAGAUGAGUCACUGCUCAGAGCAGCUGCAAUAGCUGAGAAGAGGCACCAUAGAGGCAGGCAGCGCAUCUGAGGGUCCCCGGUGGAACAUGGCAAGAGGCAUGGAUGUGGUGGCCAUGGACUGUGAGAUGGUGGGGCUGGGGCCCUUCCGGGAGAGCGGCUUGGCUCGCUGCAGCCUUGUGGACUUCCAUGGCACCGUGCUCUAUGACAAGUUCAUCCGGCCUGAGGGCGAGAUCACUGACUACAGAACCCCAGUCAGCGGAAUCACAGCUCGGAACAUGGAGGGGGCCACCCCGUUCGCCGUGGCCAGGCUGGAGAUCCUGCAGCUCCUGAAAGGCAAGCUGGUGGUGGGUCAUGACCUGAAGCACGACUUCAAGGCGCUGAAGGAGAACAUGAGCAACUAUACCAUCUACGACACCGCCCAGGAUAGGCUGCUGUGGCGCGAGGCUGACCUGCACUACUGCCGACGCGUUUCCCUCCGCCUGCUGAGCCAGCGCCUGCUCGGGCUGCGCAUCCAGGAGUUGCUGAGCCACCACCUGCUAAGGAAGAGGAUGUGUCACCUGCACCUGCCAUUGGAAGUUCUCCUCAGGCAGAGGACUCUGAGUGGAUUUAGGGUAGGGCCACCCUAACCCGGAUGACCUCAUCUUGAGAGGCUCAACUAUUAUCUGCAAAGGUAUCUCCUGGGACAAUUCAUUUCCAAGUGUUAGACAAGAGCCCACACUCGGGCCCUGGAAUGGGUCCCCCUUCCUGUAACAGCUGGUGGCUCUGGUGAGGCACCUUCUUCACUACAACUGACAUCCUGAUCACUCGGGGACCAGCUUGCCCACCCACGGGCCAGACCCAGUGGCCACUACCAGGACGCUUUUGUCUCUGGUCUCCUCCUGAUGUAGACGACUGGCCAGAGUGCUCUGACCAGAUAUGUCCACACCCUCCUCCUUCCCUCUCCACCUGAUCAUCUCCACUCUCUGGGGGACACCAAUCCACAGGAACAGAGCUAGAAUCAGGUAAAGUAAAUAACAGUUGGCUUGUGCACCAUUUCAAGCUGAGUCCCAAGGAUGAAGCCUGCUGAUCCAAUGUCUGGUCUUGUGACUAAAGAUGCAGGGUGUCUGAAGUGAAAAAGUGGGGUUGUUUUGGGUGGGGUGAGGGCCCUCACCAACUUUGAGGUCCCCGUACCCCACCUGACCUGCCUUCCCAUUUGCUGAGAGCGAGAGGAGGAAGGCAAUCACGCAGGCAAGUGGCCCAGGCCAGUGCAGACCAGGCUUCUGCUGUGGGAGGCAGAGGAAGGGCUGACAGUUGCUGUUGGAGCCCAUGUCCGCCAGAUGGCGUGAGAGCGCCAGCACAGCCCCUUUGCAGCUCCCUGGCUGCCUCUGCAAGCCCAGGGAAAUGGUGGGAGAUGGAAUGUGGGAAGUCAAGGGGGUUCCCAGGAACUUGCAUUUGGGUCCUUGGGGCCCAUUACCUGUGGCCCAAUGUGCUUUAGGGAAAGGACAAGGUUCUACCAUCACAGCUAUUGUUCAAACUCUGCAUGAUCAUAAGACCCAUUGGCCAGAGAUUUUUGUUAGGCUGUCUAGGGCCUGAGUGCCCUUUGCUUGUUUGGAGGAACAGCAGGGGCCCAGAAAUGCCUGGCUUGAAUCUUGGGCAUGCAGUGUUUGUUCAGUUUUUUUUUUUUUUUUUUUUUUUCUCAUUUUUGUCUGCCAUGUGGCUAUGGAGUUUCCAGGACAGAAAUCAUUUCUGAGCUGCAGCUGGGCCCUAAGCCAUAGCUGGGCCAAUCCAGUAUCCUUAUCCCACUGUGCCAGACCCAGGAUGGAACCUGCAUCCCUCCCACAGCUCCCAUGAUACUGCCAAUGCCAUUGUAUCACAGUGGGAA
Molecule: non-coding RNA, 2017 nt
Organism: Sus scrofa (pig)
Lineage: Eukaryota; Metazoa; Chordata; Mammalia; Artiodactyla; Suidae
Source: RefSeq, a predicted model, not a curated record